AACGAACGCUGGCGGCAUGCCUAACACAUGCAAGUCGAACGAGACCUCCCGGUUUAGAGGCGCACGGGUGCGUAACGCGUGGUAACCUGCCCUUAGGUUCGGAAUCCCUCCCCGUAAGGGGUGCUAAUACCGGAUAAUGUCUUCGGACCUAAGAUUUAUCGCCUUUGGAUGGGCCCGCGUUGGAUUAGCUAGUUGGUAGGGUAAUAGCCUAUCAAGGCGACGAUCCUUGGCUGGUUUGGGAGGAUGAUCAGCCACACUGGGACUGAGACACGGCCCAGACUCCGACGGGAGGCAGCAGUAGGGAAUAUUAGACAAUGGACGAAAGCCUGAGCCAGCAAGGCCGCGGGAGUGAGGAAGGCCUUAGGGUAGUAAAGCUCUUUUACCCGGGAUGAUAAUGACAGUACCGGGAGAAUAAGCUCCGGCUAACUCCGUG
RNAcentral lists this ribosomal RNA (433 nucleotides) under uncultured bacterium. RNAcentral describes it as "partial 16S ribosomal RNA". It matches the Rfam family "Bacterial small subunit ribosomal RNA", at positions 29 to 507 of the family's 1533-position model. The record is from RNAcentral.